CGGCUUGUGUCUCACGGUGUCGUCUCGUUCCCAUGGGUCAGCAUCGACCUGGACUACCAUUACUGUACCCCACAUCUCCCUCUGUCUGUUACUGUACCCCACAUCUCCCUCUGUCUGUUACUGUACCCCACAUCUCCUCCUCUGUCUGUUACUGUACCCCACAUCACCCUCUGUCUGUUACUGUACCCCACAUCUCCUCCUCUGUCUGUUACUGUACCCCACAUCUCCCCCUGUCUGCUACUGUACCCCACAUCUCUUCCUCUGUCUGUUACUGUACCCCACAUCUCCCCCUGUCUGCUACUGUACCCCACAUCUCCCCCUGUCUGUUACUGUACCCCACUCUCCCCCUGUCUGUUACUGUACCCCACAUCUCCUCCUCUGUCUGUUACUGUACCCCACAUCUCCUCCUCUGUCUGUUACUGUACCCCACUCUCCCCCUGUCUGCUACUGUACCCCACAUCUCCUCCUCUGUCUGUUACUGUACCCCACAUCUCCUCCUCUGUCUGUUACUGUACCCCACAUCACCCUCUCUGUCUGUUACUGUACCCCACAUCACCUCCUCUGUCUGUUACUGUACCCCACUCUCCCCCUGUCUGCUACUGUACCCACAUCUCCCCCUGUCUGUUACUGUACCCCACAUCUCCUCCUCUGUCUGUUACUGUACCCCACAUCACCCUCUCUGUCUGUUACUGUACCCCACAUCACCUCCUCUGUCUGUUACUGUACCCCACAUCUCCUCCUCUGUCUGUUACUGUACCCCACAUCUCCCCCUGUCUGCUACUGUACCCCACAUCUCCCCCUGUCUGUUACUGUACCCCACUCUCCCCCUGUCUGUUACUGUACCCCACAUCUCCUCCUCUGUCUGUUACUGUACCCCACAUCUCCUCCUCUGUCUGUUACUGUACCCCACUCUCCCCCUGUCUGCUACUGUACCCCACAUCUCCUCCUCUGUCUGUUACUGUACCCCACAUCUCCUCCUCUGUCUGUUACUGUACCCCACAUCACCCUCUCUGUCUGUUACUGUACCCCACAUCACCUCCUCUGUCUGUUACUGUACCCCACUCUCCCCCUGUCUGCUACUGUACCCCACAUCUCCCCUGUCUGUUACUGUACCCCACAUCUCCUCCUCUGUCUGUUACUGUACCCCACAUCACCCUCUCUGUCUGUUACUGUACCCCACAUCACCUCCUCUGUCUGUUACUGUACCCCACAUCUCCUCCUCUGUCUGUUACUGUACCCCACUCUCCCCCUGUCUGCUACUGUACCCCACAUCUCCCCCUGUCUGCUACUGUACCCCACAUCUCCCCUGUCUGCUACUGUACCCCACAUCUCCCUCUCAGUCUGUUACUGUACCCCACAUCUCCCUCUGUCUGUUACUGUACCCCACAUCUCCCCCUGUCUGCUACUGUACCCCACAUCUCCAUCUCAGUCUGUUACUGCACCCCACAUCUCCCUCUGUCUGUUACUGUACCCCACAUCUCCCUCUGUCUGUUACUGUACCCCACAUCUCCCUCUCAGUCUGUUACUGUACCCCACAUCUCCCUCUGUCUGUUACUGUACCCCACAUCUCCCCCUGUCUGUUACUGUACCCCACAUCACCCUCUCUGUCUGUUACUGUACCCCACAUCUCCUCCUCUGUCUGUUACUGUACCCCACAUCUCCCUCUCAGUCUGUUACUGUACCCCACAUCUCCCUCUCUGUCUGUUACUGUACCCCACAUCUCCCUCUCAGUCUGUUACUGUACCCCACAUCUCCCCUGUCUGUUACUGUACCCCACAUCUCCCCCUGUCUGUUACUGUACCCCACAUCUCCCUCUGUCUGUUACUGUACCCCACAUCUCCCUCUGUCUGUUACUGUACCCCACAUCUCCCUCAGUCUGUUACUGUACCCCACAUCUCCCUCUCUGUCUAUUACUGUACCCCACAUCUCCCUCUCAGUAUAUUACUGUACCCCACAUCUCCCUCUCAGUAUAUAACUGUACCCCACAUCUCCCUCUCAGUCUGUUACUGUACCCCACAUCUCCCUCUCAGUCUGUUACUGUACCCCACAUCUCCCUCAGUCUGUUACUGUACCCCACAUCUCCCUCUGUCUGUUACUGUACCCCACAUCCCCCUCUCAGUAUGUUACUGUACCACACAUCUCCCUCUCAGUCUAUUACUGUACCCCACAUCUCCCCCUGUCUGCUACUGUACCCCACAUCUCCCUCUCAGUCUGUUACUGUACCCCACAUCUCCCUCUGUCUGUUACUGUACCCCACAUCUCCCCCUGUCUGCUACUGUACCCCACAUCUCCCUCUCAGUCUGUUACUGUACCCCACAUCUCCCUCUGUCUGUUACUGUACCCCACAUCUCCCUCUGUCUGUUACUGUACCCCACAUCUCCCUCUCAGUCUGUUACUGUACCCCACAUCUCCCUCUGUCUGUUACUGUACCCCACAUCUCCCCCUGUCUGUUACUGUACCCCACAUCACCCUCUCUGUCUGUUACUGUACCACGCAUCUCCUCCUCUGUCUGUUACUGUACCCCACAUCUCCCUCUCAGUCUGUUACUGUACCCCACAUCUCCCUCUCUGUCUGUUACUGUACCCCACAUCUCCCUCUCAGUCUGUUACUGUACCCCACAUCUCCCCUGUCUGUUACUGUACCCCACAUCUCCCCCUGUCUGUUACUGUACCCCACAUCUCCCUCUGUCUGUUACUGUACCCCACAUCUCCCUCUGUCUGUUACUGUACCCCACAUCUCCCUCAGUCUGUUACUGUACCCCACAUCUCCCUCUCUGUCUAUUACUGUACCCCACAUCUCCCUCUCAGUAUAUUACUGUACCCCACAUCUCCCUCUCAGUAUAUUACUGUACCCCACAUCUCCCUCUCAGUCUGUUACUGUACCCCACAUCUCCCUCUCAGUCUGUUACUGUACCCCACAUCUCCCUCAGUCUGUUACUGUACCCCACAUCUCCCUCUGUCUGUUACUGUACCCCACAUCUCCCUCUCAGUCUAUUACUGUACCCCACAUCUCCCUCUCAGUCUGUUACUGUACCCCACAUCUCCCUCAGUCUGUUACUGUACCCCACAUCUCCCUCUCAGUCUGUUACUGUACCCCACAUCCCCCUCUCAGUAUGUUACUGUACCACACAUCUCCCUCUCAGUCUAUUACUGUACCCCACAUCUCCCUCAGUCUGUUACUGUACCCCACAUCUCCCUCUCAGUCUGUUACUUUACCCCACAUCUCCCUCUCAGUCGGUUACUGUACCCCCACAUCUCCCUCUGUCUGUUACUGUACCCCACAUCUCCUCCUCUGUCUGUUACUGUACCCCACAUCACCCUCUCUGUCUGUUACUGUACCCCACAUCACCUCCUCUGUCUGUUACUGUACCCCACUCUCCCCCUGUCUGCUACUGUACCCCACAUCUCCCCCUGUCUGUUACUGUACCCCACAUCUCCUCCUCUGUCUGUUACUGUACCCCACAUCACCCUCUCUGUCUGUUACUGUACCCCACAUCACCUCCUCUGUCUGUUACUGUACCCCACAUCUCCUCCUCUGUCUGUUACUGUACCCCACUCUCCCCCUGUCUGCUACUGUACCCCACAUCUCCCCCUGUCUGCUACUGUACCCCACAUCUCCCCUGUCUGCUACUGUACCCCACAUCUCCCUCUCAGUCUGUUACUGUACCCCACAUCUCCCUCUGUCUGUUACUGUACCCCACAUCUCCCCCUGUCUGCUACUGUACCCCACAUCUCCAUCUCAGUCUGUUACUGCACCCCACAUCUCCCUCUGUCUGUUACUGUACCCCACAUCUCCCUCUGUCUGUUACUGUACCCCACAUCUCCCUCUCAGUCUGUUACUGUACCCCACAUCUCCCUCUGUCUGUUACUGUACCCCACAUCUCCCCCUGUCUGUUACUGUACCCCACAUCACCCUCUCUGUCUGUUACUGUACCCCACAUCUCCUCCUCUGUCUGUUACUGUACCCCACAUCUCCCUCUCAGUCUGUUACUGUACCCCACAUCUCCCUCUCUGUCUGUUACUGUACCCCACAUCUCCCUCUCAGUCUGUUACUGUACCCCACAUCUCCCCUGUCUGUUACUGUACCCCACAUCUCCCCCUGUCUGUUACUGUACCCCACAUCUCCCUCUGUCUGUUACUGUACCCCACAUCUCCCUCUGUCUGUUACUGUACCCCACAUCUCCCUCAGUCUGUUACUGUACCCCACAUCUCCCUCUCUGUCUAUUACUGUACCCCACAUCUCCCUCUCAGUAUAUUACUGUACCCCACAUCUCCCUCUCAGUAUAUUACUGUACCCCACAUCUCCCUCUCAGUCUGUUACUGUACCCCACAUCUCCCUCUCAGUCUGUUACUGUACCCCACAUCUCCCUCAGUCUGUUACUGUACCCCACAUCUCCCUCUGUCUGUUACUGUACCCCACAUCCCCCUCUCAGUAUGUUACUGUACCACACAUCUCCCUCUCAGUCUAUUACUGUACCCCACAUCUCCCCCUGUCUGCUACUGUACCCCACAUCUCCCUCUCAGUCUGUUACUGUACCCCACAUCUCCCUCUGUCUGUUACUGUACCCCACAUCUCCCCCUGUCUGCUACUGUACCCCACAUCUCCCUCUCAGUCUGUUACUGUACCCCACAUCUCCCUCUGUCUGUUACUGUACCCCACAUCUCCCUCUGUCUGUUACUGUACCCCACAUCUCCCUCUCAGUCUGUUACUGUACCCCACAUCUCCCUCUGUCUGUUACUGUACCCCACAUCUCCCCCUGUCUGUUACUGUACCCCACAUCACCCUCUCUGUCUGUUACUGUACCACGCAUCUCCUCCUCUGUCUGUUACUGUACCCCACAUCUCCCUCUCAGUCUGUUACUGUACCCCACAUCUCCCUCUCUGUCUGUUACUGUACCCCACAUCUCCCUCUCAGUCUGUUACUGUACCCCACAUCUCCCCUGUCUGUUACUGUACCCCACAUCUCCCCCUGUAUGUUACUGUACCCCACAUCUCCCUCUGUCUGUUACUGUACCCCACAUCUCCCUCUGUCUGUUACUGUACCCCACAUCUCCCUCAGUCUGUUACUGUACCCCACAUCUCCCUCUCUGUCUAUUACUGUACCCCACAUCUCCCUCUCAGUAUAUUACUGUACCCCACAUCUCCCUCUCAGUAUAUUACUGUACCCCACAUCUCCCUCUCAGUCUGUUACUGUACCCCACAUCUCCCUCUCAGUCUGUUACUGUACCCCACAUCUCCCUCAGUCUGUUACUGUACCCCACAUCUCCCUCUGUCUGUUACUGUACCCCACAUCUCCCUCUCAGUCUAUUACUGUACCCCACAUCUCCCUCUCAGUCUGUUACUGUACCCCACAUCUCCCUCAGUCUGUUACUGUACCCCACAUCUCCCUCUCAGUCUGUUACUGUACCCCACAUCCCCCUCUCAGUAUGUUACUGUACCACACAUCUCCCUCUCAGUCUAUUACUGUACCCCACAUCUCCCUCAGUCUGUUACUGUACCCCACAUCUCCCUCUCAGUCUGUUACUUUACCCCACAUCUCCCUCUCAGUCGGUUACUGUACCCCCACAUCUCCCUCUGUCUAUUACUGUACCCCACAUCUCCCUCUCAGUCUAUUACUGUACCCCACAUCUCCCUCUCAGUAUAUUACUGUACCCCACAUCUCCCUCUCAGCCUGUUACUGUACCCCACAUCUCCCUCUCAGUCUGCAUUUCGUUCUCAUUUAAAAUGACAUCAAACCCAGCCUGAAACC
Molecule: long non-coding RNA, 5748 nt
Filed under: Oncorhynchus kisutch (coho salmon)
Lineage: Eukaryota; Metazoa; Chordata; Actinopteri; Salmoniformes; Salmonidae
Description: lncRNA (ENSOKIG00005045160.1)
Source: RNAcentral